RNA transcript from Oreochromis niloticus (Nile tilapia), 6393 nucleotides. It is a transcript of the gene named A-kinase anchoring protein 13, with no coding region annotated. The transcript has 26 exons. The record is from RefSeq and is a predicted model, not a curated record. NCBI's taxonomy places the organism in Eukaryota, Metazoa, Chordata, Actinopteri, Cichliformes, Cichlidae.
UCUGCGCCACAAGUCCCUGCAUGUGUGCCCCUGUGGGCAGUCUGCUUGCUCCCAGUGUACAAGCCCACUGAACUGAGCUGGAACAACUUGUCACAGCUCAUUACUGAUCCACGAAUCUGAGCAGGGUCCCGGGGUACAGCAGGAAGAGGCUCCCCUUCAAAGUAAAGCAGUUCUGUGCGUCACAGCGCUGUUUGUCUCCGCAGUGAUUUCACUCGAAGCUGAGUUCAGGAAACCGCUACAGCACAGACUCCGUCCUCAUGGACCUGGAAACAGCUCCGCACAGUGAGCCGUGUCUGCCUCUGUGAAGGAGCAACAGGGUGAUUUCUGCCUCAAACCACCGCAGCGAGUGUGACCUUGAAGCUGACAGAGGAACUAGAGAACAGAGUACAGACUAAUGUUCCAGCUGCAGUCCAAGACAGUGGAGUUCGAGUCCAUCCAACCACAGGAGGACAGACCGUGCGGAGAGGCAGCUAGGUGAUAUUGAGGUCAGCCGUGUCUGACACCAUGAAACUGAAUCCACAGGAAGCUCUGCUUUAUGGAGACUGUGUGCUGACAGUGCAGCUUGAUGAGGACGAAGAGAAGGAAGCAGACUUUUACCUGAUUUUCUCUGGGUCUACACAAAGGCACGUGAGCAGCACACUGCGAGUGAGUCAUGUCAAACUGCAGGCCAUGUGUCCAGGCCAUAAUGUGUGUGAACAGGUCUUGGUGACACUGUGUUUAGCUCGCCCCGAUGGAUCAGUGGACACGCACUCUCAGCAGACCUUCUCCUUCAUACAGAGUCCAGAGGAAGCUGAGAGCCUGGCCCUGAAGCAUGACAGCCAGCCUCACCACAGGACUGCACCACAAGCACCCUGCAGCACACACACAGAUGUGCAGAAGGGAACGGUCACAGUGACGGACACACACAGACCCGACACACAGAUGGAUGUCUCCUCAUUUUGGAGCAGCUGCCCUGCUGUGUGUGAGCACCAGCAGCCCUCCAGCCUGCUGCAGCUCGCAGCCAGUCAUGGUCUGAAGACGGCACCGGCAUUCCUCCUGCAGCAGCCCGCAGGGAAGGAGGCAUUGCGAAGGACGAACACUCAGGGUUCAGCUCCAGCAUGUCUUGCAAAGAGCAGAGGGAAGCAGCCACUUCUGGAGCUCUUCACACACUAUGCAACGCUCCCAGAUGUUCAAGUGGAAGCUGAGGAGACACUGCAAGUUUACCCCAAAGGUCAAGUGUUUCAGUACCAUGCCAGUGUAGGUACCUACACGCUAACCUUCCUCCUGCAGAGGGAGGGGGACACAGGGACAGACAGCAGGGGGCGCUGCUGUUUACCAGAGGAAGUGAUGGAGCUGAGGAGGCUGAUGGAGGGUCACAAAUACACUGUGAGUUCAGGCUUCCCCUCGCUGGAGGAGAGAACACAAGGGGACGACUCUGCUGCUGUCAGUCAAACAUCCUGUACCAGUGGAGGUCUUUGUCAAAGAGAGGAAAAAGGGUGGGAACACCAGGGCAGAGCAGCUGCCCGCACUGGGAGGAACAAGAAAAACAAAAAGAGAACCGCCAAAGUCACAAGACCUGCAGCAGAGUCUUCAGGAAACCAGAACCGAGAAAGUGCACGGAGGCCCCGCACGGCAACAGGAAGUGGAACUCUCUCACCAAGACAACGAGCAGUGGCGACUGUGACUAAUGUCGGAGGAACACAAGAAACUCCAUCACCCAUAAGGCCAGUAUUGGGACCAGGUGUUGAAAGGAAGUGUGCUGGCAGGAAAGUGGUUGCCUUGCCUACGGCCAGUGUCGUAGAUAAACAGGAAGGCCAGAAACAGGAAGUGGAGCUGCUGAUGCGUAAGCUGGUGUCAAAGACAGGAAGAGACACACAAAGUGUCAGCGCAGAAAUCACAGUGGAAUCAGCUGCAGAUGGGACAGUGGCCAUGGGUCAGGAGCAGUCCCAGGACAGUCAGACAGAGCAAGAGGAGCCAAGCCCAGUCGGCACUAUUAAGAAAAGUCCUUCAUCUGACACGGGAGCCAGCCCUGAGUCCACACACGCUGAAAGGAAAGGUAGGAGAGUGCUAUGGCGGGAUGGAGGUUGGACCGGAAGCAGAAUGGGACCAGAAGCAGCAGGAAAAACCACCUGGUAUGAGGGAGAAAACUUCGAACAAGUUUCCAGUGAAGAUUCCAGGAGAACAGAAGUGAACUCGCAGUCAGUCUGGUACGACAGUGGCACCACGGGUGAGAGAAUCCCCGGACAGCAGGAGCAGGGAGUGACAGAGAAGAGAAACUGCGAUACGAGCUCACCUCAAGCUUUAGGUCUUAGUUCUCCACAGCUGUUAGAGCAGGCGCUGUCUGCAGCCCCUAGUCAGUCACAUGCUGCUGGAAACCUGCCAGCACUGUCACAUGGGCCACACGCACAAAGACGGGAAGUGCAGCCAGAGGAGGAAGUUAGGUCAGACUGGAAGAAGGCAGGAGUGGAAGGAGACAGAGAAGAGGCCAGUAACAGAGAGACAAGUUUCAGCAGAAGGAUUUGUGAAACGGCAGGCGCUGAAGAGGGAGGAGAAAAACUAGCAACGAGCAAAAAACGGAGGAGAAAAAAGAGGGGGAAGAGAGGAGGUGGAGAAGCCAAACUUAGCUCCUGCUCCAGUACAGAAUCUCAGGGUUACACAGAGAUUCAGACAGAAAGCCAACAAGCAACAGAGCCCGGCAUCCAGUCACAGACACAGACUGGGAGGACAGACGGUUGCUGCCUCCCUGAUUCUGAGCCGGCCUGGAAGCAGGAAGCUGAUGACGAUGCCAUGCACCUACCCGGCCACACGGAGAUCCAGGCCCGCAGCGCUUGUGGAGCUGGCGGUGAUGUUACAAGCUCAGACUGUGGUUUCAUGGCUGAAGAGCUCAGUCACGCUGAGCAUCUAACAGCACACUCCACUCCAGUUACAGCUUCACACACAGAAAGAAGAAACGACUCAUCAGAGGAUGAGACCGUGAGCUCAGUCUUCAUCGCUUCAGAACUCGGUGAAGCAGACGUCAGUACAGUGGACAUAAAGACAAAUACAACUGUGCAGCCAGAGGCAACACAAGGACGUGACACUGGAGAGCUGGAAUCACAGAUGCCUGCCAUUCCUGUCCAGCCAGCACCGGAUAAUGCUGAUCUUAAGGCUCUGCCACCAAACGAGGAUCUGACCGUUACUUGUACAGCCACAGAAUCUGGGAUCCAGAUCGGGUUAGCGAACUCCAAGUAUCCAAAGGAAUUUGUUAAACAGUCGGAGGAUACAGAGCUCAGGGAGGAAAAGCCAGGACACUCUGUGGAUCCCACAGGAACACCAGCAGGACUUGUUGAAUCUGUGCGUCCCACAGAAGCUGCUUUUGUACCAGCUGACGAUAGAGCGGAUGUUGCUCCCCUUCACAUUCGGGAAGGAAGCACUGAGAGCGCUGCGAGGGAAUAUUUAGAGCAUUGUUUGGCCCCUGAGAUGCUGAGAGGUCAGCUGAACACGGAGAAAAUGAGACAUAACAUGCGGGUGGGCGUAGAGGGAGGAGUUGAGGAAAGAAGCCAGAGUGGCGACGAGGACAGUGCCACAGAGGCGUGUUCUAUGGAGCAAGGGCGAGCGGUGAAGCAGAACUAUGAUGAAGACCUGGUUGCUGCAGCAGUAGCUGUUGUAGCAGUAGCAAUAGCAUCAGCAGUGGUUAGCAUAGAAGUGAGCCAACAUUUAGUAGACAGUAUGUCAGAGAGUCAAGUGUGUGCUGGCAGAGAAGCAGGAAUCAGUCCAUCAUUAGCACAGGGGAGCGGUGCAGUCAGCCUCAGCACGGCUCAGUGCUCACAGCUGUCUCCACAGCUGAUCGCCAGAGCUGACACAGAAAACCAGCCUGCAGCACACUCUCACUCUCACCUCACUAACCACAUCACCUCUACAGGAGAAGCGUGUGUUCACACAGCAGAGGAAGCGCCUUCUGCAGAGAUAUCUUGUAUAACUAAUACAGACGAUCAGGCUAACAGUGACCUGCCUUCAUCUGCUGAAGCUCUUCAGUUACCAAAACAUCCCAAAGAAGAAAUUCAAAAAGAAAGUCUGCACAGCAAAGUCUUUAAAUACUCACCACCUAAAGAAGAAGAUAACAAACCUUUGCCAGAGGUGAUGACAGCUGAGGCAGACAGAGAGAGCCAGUCCCACUGUCAGAAUCCACUGCUAACAGAGCACAGAGAGCCCAAAGAUCAGGCUGCCUGUCCUGAAGAGGGAGAUGGACAGCAGCACUUUCAAACAAGAGAGAUCCCCGAUCAAGACACCGGUCACUCUGUGGAGUGCAGAGAUGCUGAGUGGCAGGAUAGAUCAGAAGAUAGUGAGUACUGUGCAGACGGUUUCCCAGACCUGUCAGCCUCACACUCUCACACUCCAGGAAAGGAGAGCCAGCCACAGCUGGCUUUAAUGCCACAUCAGAGUGGUUUAGCACUUCCUGUUACCCCCAGUAACCCAGCUUCCCUAGCUAGUCCCACUCCACAGGAAACGACUGCUCCUGUGGAAUCAGCUGAACUUCUGUCAUCAGCAAACGGCAGUAGUCUUACUGCAAGCCCUCCUGAAGCUGAAGGUGGCAAAAACCAAAGAGAAGCUCAUGACUGUGUCUGUGUGAACCCUGAGGAUGGUGUGUUUGAAGGGCUGGAUAUGGUGGAGAAAGGAGGAGAAGUGGAGAAGCUCACAGUGGAGGACACAACCCACACAGGAGCAGCAGAGCAGGAGCAGAGAGGCUGGGACAGCGCACAUACUCUGCAGAUCCAGAGAGAAAGCCAUGUGCUCUGUCCUGUACAGCCCAGUCUGGAACACAACGCAUUAACACCAUGUACAGAUAUUCACACAGACCGAGGAACGUGUGUGUCGCUGUGUUUGGUGCAGGGAGAGUCAGUGGUGGAAGAUGGCCUGAACGUCACUCCUGAGCUGGACGAUGGUCUAAUUCACAAGCCUGAGGCUCCUCAGACUGGUGUUGGGGACAUGGACGGCCAGGCCUGUGGCGCCCACUCCUCCACUAGUAAUGCACUGAUGCAAGAAGCUGUCAGCCCCAGCAAAGCAGCUUUGUCAGUGGACACAUCUGGCACUGUGUCCCCUCAGAGCUCCACACUGUCCUGGAUGUCAGAAACGGAGGACAGAGGAGGAGGAGGAGGAGACGUAGAGGGAGGAGGCGAUGAAGAAGAGAAAAAAGACCAGCUUCCAGAAACUCCAGUGUCAUCAGCCGUCUUGCGCACCUCCAGUCGCUCCUUGUCUCCGUUGCGUCGCCAUAGCUGGGAGCCGGGCAGGACCAACACAGCCACACACAUGGAGCUCUCACAGAGCAGUCUGCCUGCCCCUUCCUUCAGCUCACUGAAGAGCGUUUCAGGAGAGGUGAAACAAGCCAAGACCCCCCUCCACAGGAGAAGUAUGAGCUGGUGUCCAUCCAACCUGGUUUGUCCUGAUCAGGAGCAAAUAGACAGCCGAAGCCACAGUCUAGAAAGUCUAGAAGUGGGCACAGCAGUGGUGCAGGACCAGACGCAGUGUGCCAGCAUCAGUGAUCAGGAGGUGGUGGCUGCAGGCAGGAAUUCACAUGUGGAGAGCCUGGACAGGGGGUCUCUGGCCUCCCUAACUGAGGAGGAGCAGGAAGGAGACAGCAGCAGCAUUGACAGCCAGACAUCAUUGAUUGUCCGCUGUCCUGCCACGUUUCAUCAUCCAACUCUCACCAAAUCCAUCUCCAUGGUCACUGUCACUCAGCGGGACAUACAGGGUGUGAACUCAUUCUGCAGUCACUCUGGGUCACUGGCAUCCAGUAUUUCAGAGGAUGAGCCAGGUCCCCUGCAGAGCGAAACUGAGGGAAAAGGAGGACCUAAAAUUGGUCGGAGAUUCAGCUACCUCCGCAACAAGAUGAGCAAGAGAGUCAAGGACAAGGAGAGGAGGGGGAGGGUAAGCAAGAGAGCAAAGCACGAGAAAAGGCCCCCCUGUGCCCCCCCAGCUCCACGCUGUGUCAGCACAGCAGCAGACUCCUGUGCAAUAAGGAAACGUUCUCCUGCAACAACUGUGGGGUCCUGGUCAGUGACAGAUCCACAGAGGGCCCGUCUGUCUGUGCAAAGAACAAAACAAAGCAGCAAGCAGCGGUGCCAGAAGGCGUUCCUGGGUCGUCUGUUAACACGAGGAGUAAAACUACAUCUUCUACAUCAUCACUUUCGUCAAGGUCCUCAUCGUCACGUUGGUCAACAGUAACCAUGCCCGACGACCACUUUCCUAUGCUGUCUCCGAGAAGAAGCCGCAGAACCUUCAGCCCUCACAGCAACCUGGCUAAGAGCAUCUCCAGUAGCAACAUACCAUCGUUAGACGAUGCUGCACUCAAACGCCUCAAAGUGCUGUCCCAGUCCACCGACUCUCUCAAUCAGGGGAGCAAAGUCAACGCUUCAACUGAGUCUCUCACUGAUGAAG